Molecule: unclassified non-coding RNA, 815 nt
Filed under: Hevea brasiliensis (rubber tree)
Lineage: Eukaryota; Viridiplantae; Streptophyta; Magnoliopsida; Malpighiales; Euphorbiaceae
Source: RNAcentral
AACAGAUAAUAAAUUGUAGAAUUUGCGAGAAGAAGACCAGUGGUAAUAUAAACCAAAAAUGGGUUGGGUUUGGAGAGACGACGAGCCUGCUGGUGAAAAUGAAAUUAGCGAAUAUUGGAAAAGCCCUGAUUCAUCCUGUGGGAAGGUUUGCUCCACGAGGAAGGUGGUGAAGUCGCAGUGCAAGACUGAGGAGGUGGAACCUGGAAAGUUCGUUAGGAAGUGCGAGAAAACUGAGGAGAUUCUCGGAGAGUGCCUUGGAGAGCCUGCUGAAGUGCUGAGGUCCAACAAGGAGUACACUGAAGACGAUGUCACAGACCUGGUGGUUAAAGGGUCUUCCUCAGUAGGCCAAUUUGAUAGCUCGCCAUUUGGCUUACCAGGUCUUCGAAGUGAUAUUGAAGGCAUUGAGCGCCAAUUCCUCGGUGGCAUCAAUCGAUUUUUUGAAGCAGCUGAACAGAUUAAGGGUAGCUUUUUCGAUGUUUUUGGGGACUUGCAUAAGGAGAAUCCAUCAUGCCCUCCAUCUAUGAGGCGAGGGAUACCUAUUGAUGACUAUCCCCAAAAAAGAGAGGCUUCUCCUAAACAAAGGGAGCCUGAUGCUGGUGAUGUUGAUCUUGCUGGUUUGGCCAGAGAUGUCUGAAUUAUUCUGUUAAUAAUCUAGUCGAGUAGACAAUUUCCCCUUUUAUAUGACUAGCGAAAUAUAGACUACCAAACUGCAGUUUUUGCACUGGAAUGUAAAGCCGGUUCUUGGAUGAGACUACGAAGUUGAUUCUCAUUGCUAAGUUGAAAUCAAGGAUUUGUAUUGAUAAUUCUAUUUAAUG